GACGAACGCUGGCGGCGUGCUUAACACAUGCAAGUCGAACGGUGAAGCGCUUGCCUUUUUGGUGGGUGUGGAUGAGUGGCGAACGGGUGAGUAACACGUGAGUAACCUGCCCUCUUCUUCUGGAUAACCUCAUGAAAGUGGGGCUAAUACGGGGUAUUCCGGGUCUGUCGCAUGGCGGGUUUGGGAAAGAUUGCGCCUUUGGGUGUUUUCGGUGGGGGAUGGGCUCGCGGCCUAUCAGCUUGUUGGUGGGGUGAUGGCCUACCAAGGCGGUGACGGGUAGCCGGCCUGAGAGGGUGGACGGCCACACUGGGACUGAGACACGGCCCAGACUCCUGCGGGAGGCAGCAGUGGGAAUAUUGCACAAUGGGCGCAAGCCUGAUGCAGCGACGCCGCGUGAGGGAUGGAGGCCUUCGGGUUGUGAACCUCUUUCGCCAGUGAAGCAGGCCUGCUCCUGUGUGGGUGGGUUGACGGUAGCUGGAUAAGAAGCGCCGGCUAACUACGUG
Molecule: ribosomal RNA, 503 nt
Filed under: uncultured bacterium
Lineage: Bacteria
Description: partial 16S ribosomal RNA
Rfam family: Bacterial small subunit ribosomal RNA
Source: RNAcentral